ACUUUCGGAGGCCAAGGCAGGAGGAUCACUUGAGCCCAAGAGUUCAAGACCAGCCUGGGCAACAUAGCAAGACCCCAUCUCUAAAAAAAAUAGUUAAUAAGUAAAUAAAAUAUUCACAUUUAACUGGGUGUCUUGGGUCGUUUUGCUAAAUCUGGCAGCCUGUCUAGGAAGCCCUCUGGCUUGUUUGCUGUGGCCCACAGCCCUCAAUGGUUCAGCUUUGUGUCUCUGUGGAAGGCCCCAGACCCCCAUUCCCCCAGUUCCCAUCCUUAACAGGGUAGCAGCAGGUGGACGGCUGUGUGUCCAGCACAAGGUGUUUCCAUAGAACCAGCCAAGGCCCAUCUUGCCAUCUUAUUUUUUAUUUAUUUAUUUUUUUUGAGACAGAGUCAGGCUGGAGUGCAGUGGUGCAAUCCUGGCUCACUGCAACCUCUGCUUCCUGGGUUGAAGCGCUUCUCCUGCCUCAGUCUCCCGAGUAGCUGCGAUUACAGGCACCUGCCAGAAUGCCUGGCUAAUUUUUACAUAUAUAUUUUAAUAGAGAUGGGGUUUUGCCGUGUCAGCCAGGCUGGUCUUGAACUCAUGACCUCAAGUGAUCUGCCUGCCUUGGCCUCCCAAAGUGCUGGGAUUACAGGCAUGAGCCACUGCGCCAGGCCCAGGGGCCCAACUUAACACUGCUCUGUGCAUGAGACUCGUGCUGAGCAGGGGCAGUGGGAGCCUUAGAAGCUCCCACUUGGUCCACACCCUCCUCUGUUCUGAACUUCCCUAUCAGAACAGGGAAGCUGGGAAGCUCAAUCUAAUGUGGCAAGUUGCUGAACUGGCUCGGGUCUCAGUUUCCCUAUUAGGUUGUUAUGAGGGUUGGGGAUUUGCUUCUGCUGUAAAGUGUACCCAUGAUGGUGCCAUUAUCUGGGAGUUGAUAGAUUCAAGGCUGGCAGCUCCACAUACCCAAGCUUGGAGGUGGCAGGGAGCCACACCUCGAAGACAGAUUGAGGUGCCUUGAGUGCAGAGACAGGAAGGGCUUUCCAAAAACAGAAAAUAAAUAGCCCGGGCAGAGCCUGGGAGGCAGAGCUGUGCAGGGCACCCGGAUGGAGGGCAUGAGCAGAGAGAUGGGAGGCUGGCCCCAAGGGAAAAAACUGGAGGCCAUGGGAGCGGUGUGGUCCAGGGUGGCCUGAGUCCCUGGUGGAGAGGUCACAGACUGCCCAUUCCAGGGGCAACCUGGGCUCCUUGCAGCUGGAGGUGUGGCUGCGGGAUGAGACGGUGCUGCCCUCCAGCUACUACCAGCCACUGGUGCACCUGCUGUGCCACGAGGUCAAGCUGGGCAUGCAGGUGAGGGGACCUGGGCAGGGUGGUAGGGUCCAGUGGCAGUAGGCCUGUGCGCCUGUCCUUCUAAACCCAUUCUGCAGAGCAGAAACCUGAGGUCUGGGGAUGUGAGGAGCUGGCCAGUGUCCAGGGCCCCAUCCCCAGCCACCCCUUGGGAAAAUGUCCUCUUUCCCUGGGAUGCUCUGAGGUCCUCAGAGGGAAAGGUUCGGGAUCCCCCGUGCCUCUCCCUGCAGGGCCCAGGGCCGCUGAUCCCACUCAUCGAGGAGACAACCAGCACCGAGUGUCGCCAGGACGUGGCCACGAACCUGCUCAAGCUCUUCCUGGGGCAGGGGCUGGCCAAGGACUUCCUGGACCUGCUCUUCCAGCUGGAGCUGAGUCGCACCAGAUAAGCUGAGACUCCUCAGGAUGUGGUUCUGCAGCAGAUGAGGUGCGAACAAAGCCUGCUCUUCCCUGGGCACCCAGGAUGGCACUGAGUUCUAAAAGGCAAAGGGUAUGUGGUGAGGGGCCAGGCUGAGGCCCUGGUGUGGUACCAUCAUGGGCAGCAGCACCAUUUGAGGCCGGGUAGGAGAGACGUGCAGGGCCUGGCCCCCCAAGAGACCAGCAGACAAACUGAGGCGGCAGAGAGAGAGAUUCCAGUGUCACCAGGAAGACUGCAGAUCAUAACAACAAUGGUUGCUGAUUUGGCAUCAAAGAGGUGGCACUGUCAAAGCCACAAUUGCUGAAAAUGGCACCAACAUGCUGCAGCUGGAGAGAGUGGGUGACCAACAUUUGUUUGAAGAACAGAUGAUACUCUUUGAAUGGCUCAGCCAACAGCCCAAAGUUUUAAGGGAAGACCUCUCUGCCAGCUUCUCUUGGACAGUGUCUCAUGUAAAACCUCCAAGGCACUUACAUAGCAUAUUUUUGUGUCCACUCUCUUGCUAGUCUGUUGUACCUGGAAUAAAAAAGCAGAGGAAGUGACACCCUCACUUGAAAUGGUCACUUCCCUUCAAUGUGCUGCAGAGAACAGGACUGAUGUGGGGAAUGCUGCUGCUGCUGCUGCUUGUCAAACAUCUACGGCUGAUGGGUGAGUGGAAUAAAGGCUUUCCCUGGAGCAGGAGCACAUCAGACAUGGCUGUAAACCCCCAGCUGGGUGAACCCCUCAUGUGUAAACCCCAAACUGUUGAUUCUCCAUAACUAUCUGCUGUGGAAGAUUUAAUAAUGCAACAGACUUCCUCCCUUUCUUUCUCCUGUCCUACAAUAUGGAUGCAGGGAGGACAGAGAAGAGACACACAAAGGUCAGUUUGUACUAGUUACAGGCUGUCCAGCACACAAACUCCAGAACAAGUGCUUGGGAAUCUGCCUACUGGGGUGUGCAUCAGUACGGUCCUCAGCAGCUGUUCCGCCCCUCUGUGCCCUGGCUUUUUUGAUUGCCUGCCAUGGGGAAAGUAUCUGCCUUGUGUGCUUGUGGGGAAACUAGAGAAGUCUGUAUGUAAAGCACGUGGAGCAGGCCAGGCAUCCAUUGAAGACUAUGCAGGUGUGUGCACUUACUCUCAUCAUUGUAAUGAGACUUGAUGCUAUGAGACUAUAAAUUAGAGAGAUUUAUAGUUAAAAGAGGCACUGAAAAAAAAAUCACUUUUGGUAUGUCUAAAAUAUCUUGUAAAAAGUGUUAAAAUAAACAAACCC
RNAcentral lists this long non-coding RNA (2973 nucleotides) under Pan troglodytes (chimpanzee). RNAcentral's name for it is "long non-coding RNA NONPTRT016122". The record is from RNAcentral. Lineage: Eukaryota; Metazoa; Chordata; Mammalia; Primates; Hominidae.